ACACAUGCAAGUCGAGCGGGGACUUGUUGAGGAAGUCUUCGGAUGGAAUCGAUAAGUUCUAGCGGCGGACGGGUGAGUAACGCGUGAGCAACCUGCCCUCCACAGGGGGAUAACGCACCGAAAGGUGCACUAAUACCGCAUAAGACCACGUUUCUGACAUGGGGAUGAGGUCAAAGGAGCAAUCCGGUGGAAGAUGGGCUCGCGUCUGAUUAGCUAGUUGGUGAGGUAACGGCCCACCAAGGCGACGAUCAGUAGCCGACCUGAGAGGGUGAUCGGCCACAUUGGAACUGAGAGACGGUCCAAACUCCUACGGGAGGCAGCAGUGGGGAAUAUUGGGCAAUGGGCGAAAGCCUGACCCAGCAACGCCGCGUGAAGGAAGAAGGUUUUCGGAUCGUAAACUUCUAUCCUUGGUGAAGAUAAUGACGGUAGCCAAGAAGGAAGCCCCGGCUAACUACGUGCCAGCAGCCGCGGUAAUACGUAGGGGGCAAGCGUUGUCCGGAAUGAUUGGGCGUAAAGGGCGCGUAGGCGGCCAACUAAGUCUGGAGUGAAAGUCCUGCUUUUAAGGUGGGAAUUGCUUUGGAAACUGGAUGGCUUGAGUGCAGGAGAGGUAAGCGGAAUUCCCGGUGUAGCGGUGAAAUGCGUAGAGAUCGGGAGGAACACCAGUGGCGAAGGCGGCUUACUGGACUGUAACUGACGCUGAGGCGCGAAGGUGUGGGGAGCAAACAGGAUUAGAUACCCUGGUAGUCCACACUGUAAACGAUGAAUGCUAGGUGUAGGGGGUAUCGACCCCUUCUGUGCCG
RNAcentral lists this ribosomal RNA (800 nucleotides) under uncultured bacterium. Its description in RNAcentral is "bacterial SSU rRNA". It matches the Rfam family "Bacterial small subunit ribosomal RNA", at positions 51 to 848 of the family's 1533-position model. The record is from RNAcentral.